AUUGAACGCUGGCGGCAGGCUUAACACAUGCAAGUCGAGCGGGGUGAUGGUGCUUGCACUAUCACUUAGCGGCGGACGGGUGAGUAAUGCUUAGGAAUCUGCCUAUUAGUGGGGGACAACAUCUCGAAAGGGAUGCUAAUACCGCAUACGUCCUACGGGAGAAAGCAGGGGAUCACUUGUGACCUUGCGCUAAUAGAUGAGCCUAAGUCGGUUUAGCUAGUUGGUGGGGUAAAGGCCUACCAAGGCGACGAUCUGUAGCGGGUCUGAGAGGAUGAUCCGCCACACUGGGACUGAGACACGGCCCAGACUCCGACGGGAGGCAGCAGUGGGGAAUAUUGGACAAUGGGGGGAACCCUGAUCCAGCCAUGCCGCGUGUGUGAAGAAGGCCUUAUGGUUGUAAAGCACUUUAAGCGAGGAGGAGGCUCUUUUGGUUAAUACCCAAGAUGAGUGGACGUUACUCGCAGAAUAAGCACCGGCUAACUCUGUGCCAGCAGCCGCCGUAA
This 503-nucleotide ribosomal RNA is filed under the name uncultured bacterium. RNAcentral describes it as "partial 16S ribosomal RNA". It matches the Rfam family "Bacterial small subunit ribosomal RNA", at positions 30 to 523 of the family's 1533-position model. The record is from RNAcentral.